RNAcentral lists this ribosomal RNA (446 nucleotides) under uncultured bacterium. RNAcentral describes it as "partial 16S ribosomal RNA". It matches the Rfam family "Bacterial small subunit ribosomal RNA", at positions 338 to 795 of the family's 1533-position model. The record is from RNAcentral.
CCUACGGGUGACAGCAGUCGAGAAUCAUUCACAAUGGGGGAAACCCUGAUGGUGCGACGCCGCGUGGGGGAAUGAAGUUCUUCGGAUUGUAAACCCCUGUCAUGUGGGAGCAAAUUAAAAAGAUAGUACCACAAGAGGAAGAGACGGCUAACGCUCUGCCAGCAGCCGCGGUAAUACAUAGGUCUCAAGCGUUGUGCGGAAGUACUGGGCGUAAAGCGUGCGUAGGCUGUUUCGUACGUGGUGUGUGAAAGGCCCGGGCUCAACCCGCGAACUGCACAUGAUACUGCGUGACUAGAGUAAUGGAGGGGGAACCGGAAUUCGCGGUGUAGCAGUGAAAUGCGUAGAUAUCGGGAGGAACACUAGUGGCGAAGGCGGGUUCCUGGACAUUAACUGACGCUGAGGCACGAAGGCCAGGGGAGCGAAAGGGAUUAGAUACCCCGGUAGUC